Molecule: long non-coding RNA, 116 nt
Organism: Sander lucioperca (pikeperch)
Lineage: Eukaryota; Metazoa; Chordata; Actinopteri; Perciformes; Percidae
Exons: 3
Source: RefSeq, a predicted model, not a curated record
AGAAAUUUCUAUUUCAGGCUCUUUCUCCAGAGGGGCAGCUGAGCCAAUAAGGGCAAAUGGGCUGUUGCCCGGGCAACAACAGCCCGUACCUGUGCAAGUCCCUGUAAUAUGUUCAU